RNAcentral lists this ribosomal RNA (474 nucleotides) under uncultured bacterium. RNAcentral's name for it is "partial 16S ribosomal RNA". It matches the Rfam family "Bacterial small subunit ribosomal RNA", at positions 35 to 539 of the family's 1533-position model. The record is from RNAcentral.
AACGAACGCUGGCGGCAUGCCUAACACAUGCAAGUCGAACGAGACCUUCGGGUCUAGUGGCGCACGGGUGCGUAACGCGUGGGAACCUGCCCUUAGGUUCGGAAUAACUCCCCGAAAGGGGUGCUAAUACCGGAUAAUGUCUUCGGACCAAAGAUUUAUCGCCUUUGGAUGGGCCCGCGUUGGAUUAGCUAGUUGGUAGGGUAAAAGCCUACCAAGGCGACGAUCCAUAGCUGGUCUGAGAGGAUGAUCAGCCACACUGGGACUGAGACACGGCCCAGACUGCGAGGGGAGGCAGGAGUGAGGAAGACGGGAGUGGGGGCGAAAGCAUGAGACAGGACUGCGGGGGGAGUAGUGAAGGCCUGAGGGUUGUAAAUCUGGUUUACGCGGGAAGGUAAGGAUAGUGGCGGGAGAAUCACCCCGGGCAAACGGCGGGGCAGCGGCGGCGGUAAGCCUCGGAAGAGCAACCGUAUGAAC